CAGUAAGAUGUCGGCCAUGGAUAUAUACACGUAUUAUUAUAUUAUAGUUAUUUUACUGGCUGUACAUAUUAUAUAUAUACAAGAUGGACCAGAGAAUAUCAGAUUCGCACCAACAAGUUCUAGUAUAACAGUGAUAGAAAAUGAAAGUAGAAAUGUAACUUGUUCAGCUGACUGUAAUCCACCGUGUAAUAUCAACUGGAAAAAAGGAUCUGCUCCUAGUGGUAGUAGUGGUCUUCUAUCACUGACCAACAUCACGAGACAACAAGCUGGUAAUUACACCUGUCAGGUUACAAACACACGGAUACCUGGUUCACGUCAAUCUAAACAACUAAUGGUUAUAGUUCAUUAUCCACCGGCCAUCACACGUCUAACAUCAGAUGCUACCAACACAGGGUAGAUGAAGAUUCUACUGUAACCUUCGUCUGUUCUGUUUACAGUCUUCCAUCUUCUGUAAUAUCCUGAUCUAGAUCACAACAAGGGGUACAACUCUAUUUUGGUAGUCAAUAUACCAUACCUAAAGCUAGUUGUCAACAUACAGAUAACUAUACCUGUAGAGCUACUAAUAAUAUUGGUGAAUCUGUAUCUAAAACUAGUCAACUCUAUGUUAGAUGUGUGCCUGUUCUUGAUCCUAACCAAGAAACUAAAACUACUAUAUCUGUAGGACGUGGAGAGACAGGUGUAUUAUCAAUCCAUGUUUUAGCUUAUCCACUACCUGUAUAUACCUGGUAUUAUCAACUACAGGAUGGUAGUAAACAACUGAUUACAGAUUUUAGAAUUAGACAAGAAGAUAAUGGUUUAUCAUCAACAUUAACUAUACAAGAUGUUACAGAAGAUGAUGACGGGAAAUAUAUAGUUUAUGUUAAUAACAGCCUUGGUUCCAAUUCCACUGUAUUUAACCUUGCUGUGACGUCACAAAAUGGAGGGUGUACUUGUUCAAAUCAGUUUGGUGAUAAUGACGUAAUUUCCAGAGAACGUGGCGUUGGUAUAGCUAUUGGAUUGGGUAUAUGUCUUCUGGUUUUGGGUAUUACUGUCCUUCUACUCUGGUUUAUCUUAAAGAGAAGCGGAAAGAAAAUUUGCUUUAAAGAAGCGAAUGAUAAUAAUUCUAUAGAUGCUAACAAACAGUAGUCCUAGUUAAUGACAGAGUCAGUCACAAUACAAGGUUAGAUAACACCACUUUGCCUGAUACUCUGUCACACUAUUUGUACCUGUACAGGUGAUAAAACAGUAGCUAAUGAUACAGUCAGUCACAAUACAGAGUUAGAUAAUAUCACCUUGUCUGAUACUCCACAUAUUUAUGACCGAGUUAAUACUGGUAUAACACAGGCCAGUACCACCCUAUCUACUAAUACAGGUGUUACACAGGCCAGUACCACCCUGUCUGAUAAUACUGACUAUAUCAACACAUCCACAACAUCAUCACCAUAUGAGGUACUGGAUAAACAAACUAUAAAUCAACAACCCAGUACUUAUCAACAACUCAGUCCUAUCAGGAGAUAACAAUUGAAGUGAAAAGAUGACCACGUGGCUAGUUAUAACUAUCUUCAUUAAUACAUGUAAAAAACUUCGUAUACAGAAUAAACUUAAAUUAAAGAUACAUUAUGGGAUUUAACAUAGGCAGAAAGGAUGAUAUUUGUAGGCUGAAGUUGACUUAAAUCGUCCGUUUUGGCCAUAUCACCCUUGCCCCGCCCCCCGUUUUCUCGCCCUUAUCCGAGAUAGAAGGGGAUUUUGCGUUCUUAAGUUAGUGCUAUGUUCUAGUGUACCAAUAGUGAAAUUAGUAACGAAAAAAAUUAAUGCUGUACGCGGAAUUCGAAUUAACGCAUCUCUAAGGGUGGGGGGGGGGUAUAAAGGGGGUGUUCUUAAGGGAGUAAGGAAGGGUAGUGGGUCUUCUUAAACAGUGUUUUUGAUGACAUCUGAGGUUGGUCGACGUAUGCACGAAAGUUGAUCGUUGUACGCAAAAGUCGAAUUAAAUCGUCAUGUUGGUCAUUUCACCCAUGGGUCCCCCGUUUUGUCGUUUUUAUCCGGGAUAGAAGGGGAUUUCGCGUUCUUAAGUUAGUGUUCUGUUCUAGCGGACCAAUAGUGAAACUUUUAUGGAAAAAAUUAAUAUUGUACGCAGAAGUCGAAUUAACUCGACUCUCCGGGGGUAAGAGGGGUGUUCUUAAGGGAGGAAGGAAGGGUCGUGGGUCUUCUUAAGCAGUCUUUUUGAUGAUAUCUGAUUUUGAUCGACGUAUCCACAAAAGUUGAUUGUUGUACGCAAAAGUCGAAUUAAAUCGUCAUUUUGUUUAUUUCACCCAUAGGCCACCCUUUUUGUCGUUCUUAUCCGGAA
This is a long non-coding RNA of Patella vulgata (common limpet), 2323 nucleotides long. RefSeq lists it as uncharacterized. The record is from RefSeq and is a predicted model, not a curated record. Lineage: Eukaryota; Metazoa; Mollusca; Gastropoda; Patellidae. The transcript is spliced from 4 exons.